CGUAUAUUCAGGAUUACAACCACCACAACUGAAUAUAUAACAGUCAUACAAUCAUACACCAUUCACCACAGGUUCACAUACAGGAUUUAAACAUAAAACCACAACUAUUAGUUAAAAUGUUUCCUACCCGGGAACUAAUUUUGAAAUGCUAAGUUAAAAAAAUCUCGAGAAAACUCUUUUGAAAACUAUUUCCCACAAGGAAACUCUUUUCUUUUAAAACACGCUACCACGAGGGGUAAAAAUCAUUUUCCAAUCCUUUAUAUGAAAACCACAAGUAUUUUAAUUAAUUUCACGAAACCAUGUGUAUACAAAUAUCCAAGUAAACAAAACCAACUGAACCAUAUGUCUAAGAAAUAUCAACAGAAGUAAAUAGGGUAGUAGCUAAACCAACAAACCAGGUCGGAAGCUCUAUCAACCGCUACCAACGUAUCUCACAUCUCGUCUCAACACUCACCGCCUGCAAUACCUGAAAAAUGGUGGGGGAGGUGAAAACAUGUAAACAUGUCUCCCCUCCUAGUGGGUACCGUAAGCCGACGAAGGCAAGGAGUACUCACUGGAUCAGGAAGAGAUAAACAACAAGGUAAACAAAUACAGAUACUGAUACGAAGAAAGUACAGUAGCUAUAACAGAUAAAUAAGAAGAGAUAAAUAAAACUGCUACUGUAAGGAAUGCAAAGCCGAGUAUG
This 685-nucleotide long non-coding RNA is filed under the name Ananas comosus (pineapple). RNAcentral describes it as "long non-coding RNA (ACOM_LNC043300)". The record is from RNAcentral. Lineage: Eukaryota; Viridiplantae; Streptophyta; Magnoliopsida; Poales; Bromeliaceae.